GUGCCAGCAGCCGCGGUAAUACGUAGGUGGCAAGCGUUGUCCGGAAUUAUUGGGCGUAAAGCGCGCGCAGGCGGUUUUUUAAGUCUGAUGUGAAAGCCCACGGCUCAACCUUGGAGGGUCAUUGGAAACUGGAAAACUUGAGUGCAGAAGAGGAAAGUGGAAUUCCAUGUGUAGCGGUGAAAUGCGCAGAGAUAUGGAGGAACACCAGUGGCGAAGGCGACUUUCUGGUCUGUAACUGACGCUGAUGUGCGAAAGCGUGGGGAUCAAACAGGAUUAGAUACCCUGGUAGUCC
RNAcentral lists this ribosomal RNA (292 nucleotides) under uncultured microorganism. RNAcentral describes it as "partial 16S ribosomal RNA". It matches the Rfam family "Bacterial small subunit ribosomal RNA", at positions 505 to 796 of the family's 1533-position model. The record is from RNAcentral.